RNAcentral lists this ribosomal RNA (392 nucleotides) under uncultured bacterium. RNAcentral describes it as "partial 16S ribosomal RNA". It matches the Rfam family "Bacterial small subunit ribosomal RNA", at positions 523 to 918 of the family's 1533-position model. The record is from RNAcentral.
CUACGGAGGAUCCGAGCGUUAUCCGGAUUUAUUGGGUUUAAAGGGUGCGCAGGCGGCCAUUUAAGUCAGCGGUUAAAUCGUGGGGCUCAACCCCAUUCUGCCGUUGAUACUGGGUGGCUUGAUUGCGGUCGAGGUUGGCGGAAUUCGUUGUGUAGCGGUGAAAUGCAUAGAUAUGACGAAGAACACCGAUUGCGUAGGCAGCUGACCAGACCGCAAAUGACGCUCAUGCACGAAAGUGCGGGGAUCGAACAGGAUUAGAUACCCUGGUAGUCCGCACAGUAAACGAUGAAUACUUGUUUUCGGCGAUAUAAUGUCGGAGGCAAAGCGAAAGCGAUAAGUAUUCCACCUGGGGAGUACGCCGGCAACGGUGAAACUCAAAUGAAUUGGCGGGG